RNA transcript from Capsicum annuum, 2618 nucleotides. RefSeq lists it as uncharacterized. The transcript is spliced from 8 exons. The record is from RefSeq and is a predicted model, not a curated record. Lineage: Eukaryota; Viridiplantae; Streptophyta; Magnoliopsida; Solanales; Solanaceae.
UACAUUCUUUCUGUUGGUGGCCUUUCAAGUUCAUAUUUAGCCAACUUGUCAUGAGCAUCCAAAAGCACACACACAAAGUAGUAGCCUUUCAACUGCAAAACUAUACUACUCUGAAAAGAUUUCAUUUGAUCCAAUAGCUUACUCUCUUUGCCAGGGUUGGUUCUAUUGCUAAACUUCAUACCGGGAAAAGAUGUAGCUGUAUUUCAGCUCAUUACAAAAUGAUAGAUUACACCUACAAUAUAUACACAAAGCUAGGUACAAAAAGACCCUCAGAAUUUGAAAGGAAGAGAACUUCAAAGACACCUACAGUCAUGGAAAAUGAAGGAGAAAGAAAAAACAACUUUGUGGUAUCAUUUUCUGCUCUUUGCAAGGACGCUGUCAACGUUCUGGAUUUCAUGGAGAGGUUAAAGAAUGAAGAAGACCAAAAUGCUGUCGACAUAGCGGAUCAAAUUGAAGAGCUGAAAUCGGUGCUUGCAUUUAUUUGUACGUACAUCCAGAUUUCUUAUUCUGAUUUGGAAGAGUUUGAAGAUAUAAUGAGUGCUGCAAGACAAUGGGUUGAGAAUUUGCUUCGACCAAUUUUGGAUGAUGUUGACAGUAACGUUGGGUGUAAAUACACAAUGGAUCAUGUUCUUCCUAGCCUCAUGGAUAAUAUCAAUGAUUUUAUCAGCUUGUGUCAUCAUUCUACAUCAAGUACCAUGAUGACUGACGAGCAGUUGAACUUCCUGCUCCAGAAUCUCCAUCAUCGAUGCAAGUAUCGUGCUGAACAGAUUUUUCCAUUAGAGACUCAGGAUGAGAUUCUUCAGAAUGUGUCUGUCAACAUGAAAGAUUUCCACGGGUUGAUAGUGAAUGGUUGCAUUGAGCACGUGAUUGUUCAAUAUGUUUUGCCUCAGUUUCAACUCAUGGCUGAGAGAGUUGGAAUCUUCCUAUGGCAUGAUCGACUUGACAGAGGAUAUUUUCAAAAGGUUCCCCAAUAUUCAAGGUCUUGAAUUUAGUCUCAAGGAAUCAUGGGAUUAUUCAACAGAGGGAUAUUGGUUCCCGAAAUUGGAUUUCCUAACUGAACUAGAUUUCCUUAGAGUAGAAUUUGAAAGUUCAAACACAAAUGACAGUACGCCCUCUGUAACGACAAAUUGGUCGUGGGAUUUUCACUUCCCUUCCAAUUUGAAUACAUUGUCGUUGUUUGACUUUCCUCUGACAUUCGAUUCUCUAUCAACAAUAGCGAGACUGCCCAACCUUAAAGAGUUGUACCUUAGGAGAACACUCAUCCAAGAGGAAGAAUGGAACAUGGGGGAGGAAGACACCUUUGAGAAUCUCAAAUAUUUGGAUUUGAAAGGAAUGACUCUCGCUAAGUGGGAGUUUGAAGUGGAAUCCUUUCCCGUGCUUGAGAAAUUAGUACUGCAGGGAUGUCAUAAACUUGAUGAUAUUCCAUCAAGUUUUGGCGAUAUUUGUUCAUUGAAAAUCAUCAAACUUGUAGAGAGUCCUCAACUUGAAGAUUCUGCUAUGGAGAUUAAACAAUGUGUUGAAGAUAUGACGGGAGAAGACAAGCUUCAGAUCCUUGGCCCGAAUAAUAUCCCAUUAUCUAAGACAGAUCCUGAGAAUUUGGAAGGAAGGGUUGGAGAAGUUACUCUGGUAGAAUGAAGAAAAUGAAGGAGAAAUAAAGGAGGAAACAAACAACUCAUCGAACCCUUCCCUGCUUCCCCGAGCUCUUCCGACAUGCUCAGUUCACACCUCCUAGUUGGCGUGCCGCUGCUAUGCCUAGAACUGUGAGUUUGCUGCUACAGAAUGCCAGCGACUUCAACUGUAAUAAAGUUACCGAGAAAGUCCAAUUCAAGAAGAAGUGAGAUAUUCGUAGUGCAAAGAGUUUGAAUUGUGAUGCAAUGUGGUGAAUUUACGUCACCAAGAAUCAGCCACCGAUAAGCAUUUGGAGUUGAUAGACUGUUGUUUCUAAUGAUCAAGAUGUUCAAAUAGGUGCUGCUGACCAUGCUGCAAUAAUUGCAAGUUGAAUAUCUUCGACAGGCCCAGCAUGGCUAUCGGCCUCUUUCACUGAUGAACAUGCUUCUCCUGUUCCUUUGUCAAGAAUCCUCAAGGCCUCCAUUGUUUUUUCUCACAAUUUGAUGCCAUUUGAAUCUUUCUGGGGCCAUGGAGGUUCUAGGUUAAAUCGUCCUAGUUUAUUCUUCUCCGAUUUUGGUUUCUAACCGUGGCUUCUUUUCUGCUAGUGGCACCUUUAAGUCCAUUAAAUAUAUGAUUGAUGAGUUUAGCGAAGAGAAAUCUGUUACCUAGCUGCUACUCAAUUGGAAAUGAAGCAACUUUUACUCAAAUACACUUCAUGGAAACUAUCACCUUAGAGGGAUUGCAUCACAAAGUUUAAUGCAGGAAGGUUCCGAUGGAGAUGAAGAAUCUAUCGCUUUGAGUUAUUCAAGUGGUUAGAGUAGUGCAGAUAUAUCACCCUGGCAUCUGCUUAAAUCAUCCAAGAGGAAUCCGAUAUUCGUUUUAUGUCAAAUAAUGCGUGGAGGAACUCUCGAUAUACCAAUAAAAACAAUUACAUGCAUGAAUGAAAUUUUGUAAGGAUAAUUUUCAUGUGGUAUUGUGAUCAUUAAUGUUGUACACCAAAGUACUAUUUC